GCCGUCGUAGCUUAGUGGUAAAGCACCUCUUUGGUAAAGAGGAGAGCACGGGUUCAAUCCCCGUCGACGGCUCCA
RNAcentral lists this transfer RNA (75 nucleotides) under soil metagenome. It matches the Rfam family "tRNA". Rfam says of the family: Transfer RNA (tRNA) molecules are approximately 80 nucleotides in length. Their secondary structure includes four short double-helical elements and three loops (D, anti-codon, and T loops). Further hydrogen bonds mediate the characteristic L-shaped molecular structure. tRNAs have two regions of fundamental functional importance: the anti-codon, which is responsible for specific mRNA codon recognition, and the 3' end, to which the tRNAs corresponding amino acid is attached (by aminoacyl-tRNA synthetases). tRNAs cope with the degeneracy of the genetic code in two manners: having more than one tRNA (with a specific anti-codon) for a particular amino acid; and 'wobble' base-pairing, i.e. permitting non-standard base-pairing at the 3rd anti-codon position. The record is from RNAcentral.